UACGGAGGGGGCUAGCGUUGUUCGGAAUUACUGGGCGUAAAGCGCACGUAGGCGGCUUUGUAAGUUAGAGGUGAAAGCCCGGGGCUCAACCCCGGAACUGCCUUUAAGACUGCAUCGCUUGAAUCCAGGAGAGGUGAGUGGAAUUCCGAGUGUAGAGGUGAAAUUCGUAGAUAUUCGGAAGAACACCAGUGGCGAAGGCGGCUCACUGGACUGGUAUUGACGCUGAUGUGCGAAAGCGUGGGGAGCAAACAGG
RNAcentral lists this ribosomal RNA (253 nucleotides) under uncultured bacterium. Its description in RNAcentral is "partial 16S ribosomal RNA". It matches the Rfam family "Bacterial small subunit ribosomal RNA", at positions 524 to 776 of the family's 1533-position model. The record is from RNAcentral.